This 630-nucleotide ribosomal RNA is filed under the name uncultured bacterium. RNAcentral describes it as "bacterial SSU rRNA". It matches the Rfam family "Bacterial small subunit ribosomal RNA", at positions 767 to 1397 of the family's 1533-position model. The record is from RNAcentral.
AGCAAACAGGAUUAGAUACCCUGGUAGUCCACGCGUAAACGAUGUCGACCAGCCGUUGGGUGCCUAGCGCACUUUGUGGCGAAGUUAACGCGAUAAGUCGACCGCCUGGGGAGUACGGCCGCAAGGUUAAAACUCAAAUGAAUUGACGGGGGCCCGCACAAGCGGUGGAGCAUGUGGUUUAAUUCGAUGCAACGCGAAGAACCUUACCUACUCUUGACAUCCUGCGAACUUGUGAGAGAUCACUUGGUGCCUUCGGGAGCGCAGAGACAGGUGCUGCAUGGCUGUCGUCAGCUCGUGUUGUGAAAUGUUGGGUUAAGUCCCGUAACGAGCGCAACCCUUGUCCUUAUUUGCCAGCGGGUAAUGCCGGGAACUCUAAGGAGACUGCCGGUGACAAACCGGAGGAAGGUGGGGACGACGUCAAGUCAUCAUGGCCCUUACGAGUAGGGCUACACACGUGCUACAAUGGCCGGUACAAAGGGUUGCGAGCUCGCGAGAGUCAGCUAAUCCCGAAAAGCCGGUCUCAGUCCGGAUCGGAGUCUGCAACUCGACUCCGUGAAGUCGGAAUCGCUAGUAAUCGUGAAUCAGAAUGUCACGGUGAAUACGUUCCCGGGCCUUGUACACACCGCCCGU